UUCGUUGCAAAAUGUUGUAAAAUGCGGAUAAUAUAGCCUUGAGAAGUUUGCCAUUUUUCAGUCAUUUUGAUUACAAAUGGGAAAUUGAUAAUCAGAUGAUCAAACUGAUUAUCAAUUUCCCGUUUGUAAUGCAAAAUGACUCAGCUCAGUGAAAAACGGCAAAUUUCGCAAGGCUAUAUUGGCCGCAUUUUACAACAUUUCGCAACGAAACUUCGGAAUAUUACUAAUUUUGUUGAUACUCUUUCAAGCUGUAAUGAAAUUUUUGUCCAGGCUAGUCUAGAUCAAAAUUUCACUUAAAAGGGGAAAGGUCUAUUACGGCCGGGUCCUUGUGCCUUGUGGGAUGGUCACAACUUCUAAAGAGCCUGCAGAGUUUACCCUGCAGGUUUAAAGAGCUCUAAUUAAUUAAAAGUCGUAAAAUACAGUUAAUUAUUAAAAUUUCUUAUUGCACAUUUUCUAUGUUAUUCUACCUUAUGCAUAAUGACGUCACAUGGCUUGAUGCCCGCGAGGAAUGCUGGUCUUAGCAGUCAUCACCCGGGAAAAUUAAACAAUUCAAAAUGGCUAUUAUCGAAAUUUUCCCGGGCAAUGACUACUAAGACCAGGGUUGGUAAGUUAGAUGAAGAAUUAGGCCAAAUCGUCAUUAGUGCCGUUUAGAAAACAGAGAAAACAAAAGGCCAAGACAAAGAAAACAAAGGCCUAGUGUGACGGUGUUUGGCCUAAUUAUUCAGCAAACCUACCAAUCAUAGAUAUAGGAGAUCUAGAUUACUAACGCAUACCUAACGCAGGCGGGGCCUACAUGAUAAAUCCAAGAUGGCGGUACAACAGGGCAAAAAGACUAUAAAUUGUAUUACGAAAAUCAGGAUAUUUGCAUUUUUUUCCGUCGCAUUGUUUUGAAACUUAUUCGGUCAAAUUUUAUGGUAAAGAGAAACUUACCGCGAAGAUUUUGAGUAUAUAUAUGAUUGAAUUGGAUGAAAAAUCGCAAAAUUAUCCAGCGAUAAAAGUUCGUGUGAACUGGUCAGUUGGAGCGUUUUAUUGCCAGAAAUACUGUGCUAUGUUAACAUCUAG
Paramuricea clavata is the source of this 1062-nucleotide non-coding RNA. The record is from the annotation of a GenBank genome assembly. Lineage: Eukaryota; Metazoa; Cnidaria; Anthozoa; Malacalcyonacea; Plexauridae.